CUCGGGCCUUGUACACACCGCCCGUCACACCACAAGAGUUUACAACACCCGAAGCCGGUGGGGUAACCGCAAGGAGCCAGCCGUCGAGGUGGGGUAGAUGAUUGGGGUG
RNAcentral lists this ribosomal RNA (109 nucleotides) under uncultured bacterium. Its description in RNAcentral is "partial 16S ribosomal RNA". It matches the Rfam family "Bacterial small subunit ribosomal RNA", at positions 1373 to 1482 of the family's 1533-position model. The record is from RNAcentral.